GACGUAGGGUGCAAGCGUUGUCCGGAUUUAUUGGGCGUAAAGAGCUCGUAGGCGGCUCGUCGCGUCGACCGUGAAAACUUGGGGCUUAACCCCAAGCCUGCGGUUGAUACGGGCGGGCUAGAGUUCGGUAGGGGAGACUGGAAUUCCUGGUGUAGCGGUGAAAUGCGCAGAUAUCAGGAGGAACACCGAUGGCGAAGGCAGGUCUCUGGGCCACUACUGACGCUGAGAAGCGAAAGCAUGGGGAGCGAACAGG
This 253-nucleotide ribosomal RNA is filed under the name uncultured bacterium. RNAcentral describes it as "partial 16S ribosomal RNA". It matches the Rfam family "Bacterial small subunit ribosomal RNA", at positions 524 to 776 of the family's 1533-position model. The record is from RNAcentral.